This is a long non-coding RNA of Canis lupus familiaris (dog), 3457 nucleotides long. RefSeq lists it as uncharacterized. NCBI's taxonomy places the organism in Eukaryota, Metazoa, Chordata, Mammalia, Carnivora, Canidae. The transcript has 11 exons. The record is from RefSeq and is a predicted model, not a curated record.
GCAGGUUAUAGAGUUGUUUUGAGGACUAAGCAAAACGACCUGUGCUUAGGGAAGAAAGCGGGGCCCUUCACUUUAGUUCUCCUCCAACUUUCUCUUCCAGCCACUCUGUGCAUCAUUGUCCCUUUCAUUUUUUUUUGGCAAGGACAUCCUUUAUUCUGGCUUAGCUGUUCACUUUGGAGAGAUGUUGGGUACCAAAUGGCCCUGUCUAUAGGUUUGUUUGGAGUGUGACAGUCUUAAGCCAGAGCUAUCCAUCCUGGAGAGAUCAGGGAUUCUGAGCAGACCUGUUUCAGGAGACCCUUCCACUUUGCUGAUGGAUUUGAGGCAUAAGCAAGGGAAAUAUGGUGUCAUUCAAAUCUGGACCAAUCUGAUCUCUCACCAUGAGACUUCAUGUUGACCCUGGUAUCAGGGCUGCUUAGGCUACAGGGGAGAAGACAGAUGCCAACCUACCCAGCAAUCACAGAGAUGAAGCUCAGAACUCAAACACGGAGAAAGGAGCAAUUCCUAACAGCCAAGAUGGACAGGGGAGGCUUCACACAGAGGAGCCUUAGAGAUCUUGGAGUGGCAGCAGGCGCCCACAUAGAAGCUGGAUCAUCAGACCCAGGGGCUGCAGAGAUCUUGGAGUCUGGACAGUGGGUGUUACAUAUGGGGUAAAGUCCCUAUGUAGGGUACUUUCAAGAAGAGGGACUUGAAACAACAUGAAGGUGGAAUCUGAGCAAAGGAUAUGGGAGAGGGUGUUCCAGAUACAGGCUAGACUGAGCAGGGAUGAGAAGGAGGAAUAUAUUCCCUAGCAAAGUAGUGGGGAUAGGUGUGGUCGAGUAUAGGUAUAGAAAGCAGAAGACAAACCCAGAGAAAGGGGCUGAUGCUUGCAGAGGGGAGUUCUCAAAUGUCUGGAGAGUAACUGACUUUAUUGCUUAGACCUGCACAGUGAACAGGAUCUGGAUGUGGGGGGUUGAUUACUAUUCUAGGCUGAAGAAUGGAACUGGAUUUAUUGUGGUCUGGGUGUUAAGCAUGGCAGCAGGCCAGGGGCUCUCAGACUGCCCCCAUUAAAUCUACCCAGAUCUCUCAUUAAAUUCUCCUACUUUGAAAUAUGGGGACUUGCUCUUUUCUGGGCAUCUGGGCACCCAGGCUAUGAAUAUGAAUAGGCCUCUCUGGCCUAUUAUUUAAGACAGAUGUGUCCAUCUCAACGUCAAAGGUAGAACUCUCCUAGGAUGAAAAUAAAGCAUCAUGUAAAGAGUAAGGAAUAAUGGUGGCGGGCAAAUCUGGGGCUUCCUCAAAUCAAAAGGCUAACUCCAUCCUGGGGAGUUGGUUCUAGUCCUGGCUCUACCACUUAGCCAAAUGGCUUUGGGCAAGUCACUUAGUCUCUGGGCCUUGGUUUCCUCAUCUGAAAAUGGAUCAACAUGAGCAGAUAAUGUAAGAGGAGGUGCUUGCAACCCAGGAACUUCUAGCUGAUGGUUCCCUCUUUGGCCAGGUCCCUGUGAUACAGUGUCUUCACCAAAGGCUCCCUCAGGAAGGGCCAAUCCUCUUCUUUGGGCUACAGUGUGGUCUGGUCCAAGCCACUGUGUUCUAGGUUCUCUCCACUCUAGUCUCCAGAGGGAUCACCUUGAACACACACCUGCUCCCAGGUUGUAGGUGUCUGUACUCAUCCUGGCUUCAGGGCGUUCCUGGGACUUUCUUAGAGGGGAGGUGGUGGGCUGGAGUGGAAAGAACACUGGCAUGUGGCCAAGCCCAGCUGUCCACUUGCUUAAUGCCAAGACACACUCUUUCUCUGGGUCUCAGUAUCUUCAUUACCAAAUGGAGCUAAGAACUUUUGUUUAGCCUUCUUACCCAGGUCUACUGUGAAGGUGAAAUGAAAUUCAGAUGUGACCAAGGCUGUGGCCAGGUACAACAUCUUGCAAAACACUGGGGUUAAGCUGGAGCAAAAGCUGACAUCUGCUGCAGAGAGCAAAAUGAGGCCUUGCUGUUCUCAGACCUUACCUCAGAUAAAGGAACUGAAGCACAGAGAAGUUGCCCCAGGAAGUUCCACAACGAGAAUGUUUGCCCAUAAGCUGCUAAGCAAACAGAAUCAGAAGUAACUUUCAAUAAACCCAGGCAACUGUCCCAGUGAAGAGGUACCUGCUCAGGAGAGUUAAGAGAAAGCAAAGGCAGCAGAACUUGAUUGAAUCACAAGUAAUAUGAAAUUGCCACUGGCUGGCUGUGCAGCAGUCCUGCUAAACCGGCCACCCAUCUUCCUUCUCUCCUUCAAGAGGUGACAACUGAGGAUGAAGCAGUCACAAGUCAACAGAAUCAAACCUAAGGACUAAAAUACUGCUAACACUGUUGAAGAGACCUAUGUGCUCUUCCUCCCCUAUUCUACCCCUGCUUCCACAACUAUGAACAUUGUAGGCAGACUGUUGAAAAAGAGACAAUCUUAAAAGCAGACAGAAAAUAAAAGUCAUAUUACAUUUGAGGCAACAAUAGGAACAAUGGCUGCUUCUCAACAGAAACAAUGUUAAGUCGGAAUGUGGAUUGAUAGCUCUAAAAUGCUAAAACAAACAAAAUUCAAGUUGGAAUUCUAUAUCCAGUUGAAAAAAAUAUCCUGGAAAAAUAAAGGCAAAAUGAAGAUAUUUUCGGACAAUUGAAGCUGUCAUCCGCAGGUCUGCAAUACAUGGAAUUCUAAAGGAAGUUUUGUGUUGAAGGGAAAUGAUCCUGGCAUGAAAUCAGGAUGUGAAAAAGGAAUGAAGAGUGUCAGAAACAAUAUGUGGGUUAUCCAGAAUGGAGUAGCAGCCAGGCAAGAGCACAGACUCAGAAAAUAUGCUGGUAUGAAUGCAUCAGGAUUAGAGAGGCUUAUAAAACUCUCAGCACAUUGCCAUUCACUAAUAAGAAUAAAAACUGAGAUGGUUUUACUAAGUAUCUGGCACUCAUUUAAUUCUCCCACUGAGGAUGUGUUUUUACCAUAACAGUUAAAAUGAGGGAUGGAAGCUCAGAGAGAAGGAACUGGCCAAGACUUGAAAUCAGGCUCCCCUGAUGCAGUACUUUCCUGUCUGAUGUUAUCUGCCACAUUCAAACUCUUUAUCUCAGGAUGAGAGGAAGUGUGGAAAGAGAGCACCUCAAGAUGUAAGGAACAGUUUUACUGGAGCAAGGUAACCUCUUUUCUUCUGAUGCAACAUGAUAAUUAUCAUCAUUAUCACAAGCAGAAAGUAAGGGCAGCAGAAGGGAAGAUACCCAAAAGCAACACAGCUAAAUCCUUAUCCUCAAAAAACUCAACAGCUACUUAUAAGGAUGGUUGGAUGGAUGACUGCAUGGACUGCUUGACUCAUUCAAUAAGCAGAUCAACUGCCACAUCUUGUACAAAGCCCAUUUAUAAGAGAAUAAAAAGCUUAGACUGAUGGGAUGUGGAGAAGCAUGACAGAAAUGGACAAUCUGAAAAGUUAAAUACUUCCUUUGUUAUCACUCAAUAAAAAGAGGUAUUUGUGCUUGA